CCUACGGGGGACAGCAGUGGGGAAUAUUGCACAAUGGGGGAAACCCUGAUGCAGCGACGCCGCGUGAGCGAUGAAGUAUUUCGGUAGGUAAAGCUCUAUCAGCAGGGAAGAAAAUGACGGUACCUGACUAAGAAGCCCCGGCUAACUACGUGCCAGCAGCCGCGGUAAUACGUAGGGGGCAAGCGUUAUCCGGAUUUACUGGGUGUAAAGGGAGCGUAGACGGCGGUGCAAGCCAGAUGUGAAAGCCUGGGGCUCAACCCCGGGACUGCAUUUGGAACUGUGCUGCUAGAGUGUCGGAGAGGCAGGCGGAAUUCCUAGUGUAGCUGUGAAAUGCGUAGAUAUUAGGCGGACCCCCAGUGGCGAAGGCGGCCUGCUGGACGAUGACUGCCGUUGAGGCUCGAAAGCGUGGGGAGCAAACAGGAUUAGAUACCCCAGUAGUC
RNAcentral lists this ribosomal RNA (440 nucleotides) under uncultured bacterium. RNAcentral's name for it is "partial 16S ribosomal RNA". It matches the Rfam family "Bacterial small subunit ribosomal RNA", at positions 338 to 795 of the family's 1533-position model. The record is from RNAcentral.